This 292-nucleotide ribosomal RNA is filed under the name uncultured bacterium. RNAcentral describes it as "partial 16S ribosomal RNA". It matches the Rfam family "Bacterial small subunit ribosomal RNA", at positions 775 to 1067 of the family's 1533-position model. The record is from RNAcentral.
GGAUUAGAUACCCUGGUAGUCCACGCCGUAAACGUUGGGCACUAGGUGUGGGGAUCUAUCGACGGUUUCCGUGCCGAAGCUAACGCAUUAAGUGCCCCGCCUGGGGAGUACGGCCGCAAGGCUAAAACUCAAAGGAAUUGACGGGGGCCCGCACAAGCGGCGGAGCAUGUGGCUUAAUUCGAUGCAACGCGAAGAACCUUACCAAGGCUUGACAUUCUGGGUAAUCCGUGGAAACACGGUGAUCCUUCGGGAUCCAGAACAGGUGGUGCAUGGCUGUCGUCAGCUCGUGCCG